Molecule: long non-coding RNA, 1831 nt
Organism: Canis lupus familiaris (dog)
Lineage: Eukaryota; Metazoa; Chordata; Mammalia; Carnivora; Canidae
Exons: 4
Source: RefSeq, a predicted model, not a curated record
UGUGCUCGCCAGGCUCACACCUGUGUCUACAGGAGCACUGUCGCGUGGCGCAUACGGGGCUGUGUUUCCUCCGAGUGUAUUUUCACGUUACAGAUCACCUUACCCUCAGAGAAGGGGGACUCCUUUUUGGGAAGAAAUAGGCUGUUUCUGUGCUCCUGAUGUGGGGGAUGGCAAGGAAGGCACCACCAGACUCCUGAGCUUUGCUCACGUCUGCAGUGGGGGUUAUGUGUCUGACCCAUUUAGCAGAGUUGCCAUGAGUUAGGGGAGGGUCAGAUGAGGUCUCCGCACGAUGAGGAGCACGCGGCAAGUGCUCAGUAAACGUUGGCCUGUGACAGGCUUGCAUGAGCCUGUGGGGGGGCGGGGAGACAGGAAGAUGACAUCCUUUCCCACUUGGUUCUUUCCGUGUUUUUCUUAGGAAGCCCGGUCCUGGGGCGGGGAGCUGCAGCCCCCCAGGGGCACCCUCCCUGCUCCUUCGCUUGAAUGGGCCUGGCCUUCGGUGGCACUGGCUGGGUCCGUGCCCGUGGCCACGACAGAACCACGACAGCGCAUUUUGCAGCUCCUCAGUGUGGAGGCUUAACUUCACCGGCUCCGGGAUUGUGGGGCCACCUCCUCCCACGACCGGGCCAUGUUUUCAUUCCUAACCGUCCUCACUAACCCAGAACACUUGGGAUUCUCUUGUCUCCAGCAGAACCCCAAACACCUCCCACCCUCUUGUUGGUCUAGUGGUUAAUUAAGUGUCUGUCAGUCACAGAAACCAGAGGCAGAUAUCAGAUGACUGUUCACUCAGCCUUUUCCCGAAAGGCCCUUCUAGGCUGGUUUCCUCUGCUCAGCACAGCAGCUCCUCCACCGCCUGUCCUCUCGGGCACGGGCACGGGCACGAGGGCGAUGGGCCUGGGGCUGUGAGCAGCUGCCGGGCCUCUCCUGGAGCCACGCGGGGAGCCAGGCUGCAGCAGGCGGCCCUAUCUGGGGGAGGCCAGAGGCAAGCCGCCUGCUCAUUAUUGGGCUGCCGUGAAAACUUCAGCCCUGGAGGUCUUUCCCAAACAGGAUAGGGUUUCAUCUCUCUGGAAUGUGUUAGGGCUGCGAGGCCUACCGUCCUCUCUGUCCAGAUGAAAUUCAUCUUCCAUGAAGGACUGGGCCCCACGUCUGAGCUCCACAGACUGCAUAGACCUCCACGAAUAGACCAUAGAGCUCCACUCCUGGCCGCGGAGACCAUGAAUGACUAUCUUUCCCAGGACUGAGCACUAGUCCUGGAUGUACUGUCUCUAGCAGAUUUCGAGCAAGGUGAGAGCAGCGGGGACAAGGCUCUGCAGGGGUGCUCCUUAGAGCAGCCCCACCUCCUCUUCUUUAAUCCUGCCCCUGCCCCUUCCCAGAGGCAGGUGCUCCCACACCUGGCUUACCUGGGUUCCCAGGAAGGAAAGGUACACCCAUGGCUUUCCAUCUUGCUCUGCCAGUGGCUCUGUGGCUCUGCCAGCCCCACAGGUCAGCACCUGUUUCCCACACUGACUCAGAUCUCAGCUUCCUUCCUGACAAAUAGCACACGUGGCAGCCCCAAUCCUGGGCUUGGUCUGCUCAGCGGUUUUCACCCCUCAACUGAUGGACAAAUGUUGGGACUUUUCGAUCUGGGACUCUGAUGGUUUCAUAGCAGAGGGAAGAGAGACACGAUGAAUCACUCACUGAUCCUUAAAACUUCUGUCUGGAAGUGACACCUGUCAUUUCUGCUCAUGUUUCAUUGGCUGAUGCAAGUCAUAUGGCUGAGCCUAAACUCCCCCUGGGAGAGUAAAGGAUAAUUCUCCUCUAAUGAACAGUAAUAAAGUCUACCGUAAAAAAAGGC